AGGGCACCACCAGGAGUGGAGCCUGCGGCUUAAUUUGACUCAACACGGGAAAACUCACCCGGCCCGGACACUGGAAGGAUUGACAGAUUGAGAGCUCUUUCUUGAUUCAGUGGGUGGUGGUGCAUGGCCGUUCUUAGUUGGUGGAGCGAUUUGUCUGGUUAAUUCCGAUAACGAACGAGACUCUAGCCUACUAAAUAGAUCGUCGGCUUACAAACGCUGAUGAGACUUCUUAGAGGGACAGGCGGCGAUUCAGCCGCACGAAACAAAGCAAUAACAGGUCUGUGAUGCCCUUAGAUGUCCGGGGCCGCACGCGCGCUACACUGAAGUGAUCAGCGUGCAUUUUCAGCCUACUCUGCCAAGAGUGGGAAACCCAAUGAACCUUCUUCGUGAUUGGGAUAGGAGAUUGUAAUUAUUCUCCUUGAACGAGGAAUUCCCAGUAAGCGCGAGUCAUAAGCUCGCGUUGAUUACGUCCCUGCCCUUUGUACACACCGCCCGUCGCUACUACCGAUUGAAUGUUUU
Molecule: ribosomal RNA, 519 nt
Filed under: uncultured eukaryote
Lineage: Eukaryota
Description: SSU rRNA
Rfam family: Eukaryotic small subunit ribosomal RNA
Source: RNAcentral